Phyllostomus discolor (pale spear-nosed bat) is the source of this 126-nucleotide small nucleolar RNA. RefSeq annotates it as small nucleolar RNA SNORA71. The transcript has a single exon. The record is from RefSeq and is a predicted model, not a curated record. NCBI's taxonomy places the organism in Eukaryota, Metazoa, Chordata, Mammalia, Chiroptera, Phyllostomidae.
UCCGAAAGUGAUCGCAGACUUCCUGUGCCCUGGUCAUUGAUACCACAGGGAGAGGAACUGAUGAAAGCAUUUUUCUGUGUUUGGAGGGUGCAGUCUGUCCCUACCAAACCCUAGAGCUUUCAUGUA